GGGGGGACCACCCUCCAACCCUAAAUACUACCCAGUGACCGAUAGCGUAUAGUACUGUGAAGGAAAGGUGAAAAGCACCCCGGGAGGGGAGUGAAAAAGAACCUGAAACCCUGUGCCUACAAGCACCUAGAGCACGUCAAUGUGUGAUAGGGUACUUUUUGUAGAACGGUCCGGCGAGCGAUUGUAUGCAGCAAGGUUAAGGACUUAAGGUCUGGAGCCGAAGCGAAAGCGAGUUUGAAAAGGGCGUUAAGUUGCAUACAAUGGGCCCGAAACCGGGUGACCUACCCAUGGUCAGGUUGAAGUGGAAGUAAAAUUCCAUGGAGGACCGAACCGACCUCCGUUGAAAAGGCGGCGGAUGAACUGUGGGUAGCGGAGAAAUUCCAAUCGAACCCGGAGAUAGCUGGUUCUCCCCGAAAUAGUUUUAGGACUAGCCUCAAGUUAGAUACCUGGAGGUAAAGCACUGAAUAGCCUAGCGGCCGAGAGGUUAGCGAAGCUUAUCAAACUCAGAAUGCCAGAGUAUUGAUGCUUGGGAGUCAGACAGUGUCAGAUAAAUGUCAUUGUCAAAAGGGAAACAGCCCAGAUCUACAGCUAAGGUCCCAAAGUCAGGUUAAGUGGAAAACGAUGUGAAGAUACGUAGACAACCAGGAUGUUGGCUCAGAAGCAGCCACACAUUCAAAGAGUGCGUAAUAGCUCACUGGUCGAGCGUCUUUGCGCGGAGAAUUUAACGGGGCUAAACCUGACACCGAAGCUUAGGCAAUACAGCAAUGUAUUGGGUAGGGGAGCGUUGUAUACGCGGUGAAACAGUAGCGCAAGCGGCUGUGGAGUGUAUAGAAGUGAGAAUGCCGGAAUGAGUAGCGCGAAUGCAGUGAGAAUCUGCAUGGCCGAAAGCCUCAGGUUUCUGGAGGAAGGUUCGUCCGCUCCAGGUUAGUCGGGAGCUAAGGUGAGGCCUAACGGCGUAGCCGAUGCACAGACGGUAGAGAUUCCGUCACCACCAAAAGAGUUAAACACAGGGACACAUUUGAAGUCUCGGAGCCGGGUGUUGGUUCCGGUAGCGAUCGAGGGAAGUUAGUACCGAAGUCCGGGAUGGAAGAUGGCGAGAAAAGCUGUGUGUAUUUCUGCGGUGCCCGUACCGCAAACCGACACAGGUAGGUAGGAAGAAGAUUCUAAGGCCAACGGGAGAAGGGUUGUUAAGGAACUCGGCAAAUUGACCCCGUAACUUCGGGAGAAGGGGUGCUCCAGAGAUGGAGCCGCAGAGAAUCGGCCCAAGCAACUGUUUACCAAAAACACAGGUUUGUGCUAAAUCGAAAGAUGACGUAUACGAGCUGACGCCUGCCCGGUGCUGGAAGGUUAAGAGGAGAUGUGCAAGCAUUGAAUCGAAGCCCCAGUGAACGGCGGCCGUAACUAUAACGGUCCUAAGGUAGCGAAAUUCCUUGUCAGGUAAGUUCUGACCCGCAUGAAAGGCGUAAUGAUUUGGGCACUGUCUCGACAGCCCGCCCGGCGAAAUUGUAGUACCGGUGAAGAUGCCGGUUACCCGCGACAAGACGGAAAGACCCCAUGGAGCUUUACUGUAGCCUAAUAUUGGGUUUCGAUGUUGCAUGCACAGGAUAGAUGGGACACAGGGAAACAAGUGCUUUGGCAUUUGUGGAGUGGCCGUUGGGAUACCAUCCUUGCGAUAUUGGAAUUCUAACCUGCGCCUUUGAAUCAAGGCGGGGGACAUUGUUAGGUGGGCAGUUUGACUGGGGCGGUCGCCUCCUAAAGAGUAACGGAGGCGUUCAAAGGUUCGCUCAGCUUGAACGGAAAUCAAGCAAAAGAGUGCAAACGCAGAAGCGAGCCUAACUGCGAGACUGACGGGUCGAGCAGUAACGAAAGUUGGAGUUAGUGAUCCGGUGGUAUGUGAGUGGAAAUGCCAUCGCUCAACGGAUAAAAGUUACCCUGGGGAUAACAGGCUGAUCUCCCCCAAGAGUCCACAUCGACGGGGAGGUUUGGCACCUCGAUGUCGGCUCAUCGCAUCCUGGGGCUGUAUUCGGUCCCAAGGGUUUGGCUGUUCGCCAAUUAAAGCGGUACGCGAGCUGGGUUCAGAACGUCGUGAGACAGUUCGGUCCCUAUCUGUCGUGGGCGCAGGAUAUUUGAUGGGAGCUGUUCCUAGUACGAGAGGACCGGAGCGGACGUACCUCUGGCGCACCAGUUGUUCUGCCAAGGGCAUAGCUGGGCAACUAUGUACGGAUCGGAUAAACGCUGAAAGCAUCUAAGCGUGAAGCCGACCCAAAGAUAAGAUAUCCCAUUGUUUCAAACAAGUAAGACCCCUUGAAGACUACAAGGUUGAUAGGCACGAUGUGUAAGUGGAGUGAUCCAUUCAGCAAGCGUGUACUAAUAGGUCGAGGGCUUGACCACAA
Molecule: ribosomal RNA, 2393 nt
Filed under: Faecalibacterium prausnitzii
Lineage: Bacteria; Bacillati; Bacillota; Clostridia; Eubacteriales; Oscillospiraceae
Description: partial 23S ribosomal RNA
Rfam family: Bacterial large subunit ribosomal RNA
Source: RNAcentral